This is an unclassified non-coding RNA of Cricetulus griseus (Chinese hamster), 153 nucleotides long. Its record names the gene 7SK. It matches the Rfam family "7SK RNA". Rfam says of the family: 7SK was discovered as an abundant small nuclear RNA in the mid-70s but a possible function has only recently been suggested. The record is from Ensembl. NCBI's taxonomy places the organism in Eukaryota, Metazoa, Chordata, Mammalia, Rodentia, Cricetidae.
CCUCUCCUGAAGUUGUGGGUGGGUUGAAGAGAACGACUUUCCCUGAAUGGAGGAGGGCCAGCCUUCAGUCAGGUGUAUAUGAGUAGCUGCAGUCCCCUGCAGAACCUCCAGUCAUGCUCUCACAUUCAUUAUCUUGGGGAUUGGGAUUUCAAU